CCUGGCUUAGGAUGAACGCUAGCGACAGGCCUAACACAUGCAAGUCAGGGGCAGCACAAGGAGCAAUCUGAGGUGGCGACCGGCGCACGGGUGAGUAACACGUAUGCAACCUGCCUGUAAGCGGGGAAUAACCCGUUGAAAGACGGACUAAUACCGCAUAAUACUAAAUUACUGCAUGGUAAUUUAUUUAAACAUUUAUGGCUUACAGAUGGGCAUGCGCAUGAUUAGCUAGUUGGAGAGGUAACGGCUCCCCAAGGCAACGAUCAUUAGGGGUUCUGAGAGGAAGGUCCCCCGCACUGGUACUGAGACACGGACCAGACUCCUACGGGAGGCAGCAGUGAGGAAUAUUGGUCAAUGGACGAGAGUCUGAACCAGCCAAGUCGCGUGCAGGAAGAAAUGUCCUAUGGAUUGUAAACUGCUUUUGCAGGGGAAUAAAGUGCAUCACGUGUGAUGUUUUGUAUGUACUCUGCGAAUAAGGAUCGGCUAACUCCGUGCCAGCCGCCGC
This 505-nucleotide ribosomal RNA is filed under the name uncultured bacterium. RNAcentral describes it as "bacterial SSU rRNA". It matches the Rfam family "Bacterial small subunit ribosomal RNA", at positions 18 to 518 of the family's 1533-position model. The record is from RNAcentral.